This 1333-nucleotide ribosomal RNA is filed under the name metagenome. RNAcentral's name for it is "bacterial LSU rRNA". It matches the Rfam family "Bacterial large subunit ribosomal RNA", at positions 1298 to 2617 of the family's 2925-position model. The record is from RNAcentral.
UGACAUGAGUAACGAUAAGGGGGGUGAAAAGCCUCCCCGCCGAAAGCCCAAGGUUUCCUAGCGCAACGUUCAUCGGCGCAGGGUGAGUCGGUCCCUAAGGCGAGGCGGAAACGCGUAGUCGAUGGGAAGCUGGUUAAUAUUCCAGCACUUUAUCGCAGUGCGAUGGGGGGACGGAGAAGGGUAGGUGUACCGGGCGUUGGUUGUCCCGGGGAAAGGAGGUAGGCAUGAGGCGUAGGCAAAUCCGCGCUUCUUUAUGCCGAGCACCGAGACGAGUCCUUUUAGGACGAAGUCACUGAUCCCACGCUUCCAGGAAAAGCCUCUAAGCUUCAGCUGCGAUAGAACCGUACCGCAAUCCGACACAGGUAGGCAGGGUGAGAAUCCCAAGGCGCUUGAGAGAACUCGGGUGAAGGAACUAGGCAACAUAGCACCGUAACUUCGGGAGAAGGUGCGCCUGAGAGUGUGGCUACAUGCGUAGCUGAGCAUUCCCAGGCCGCAGUGACCAGGCCGCUGCGACUGUUUAUCAAAAACACAGCACUCUGCAAACACGAAAGUGGACGUAUAGGGUGUGACACCUGCCCGGUGCCGGAAGGUUAAUUGAUGGGGUCAGCCGCAAGGCGAAGCUCUUGAUCGAAGCCCCGGUAAACGGCGGCCGUAACAAUAACGGUCCUAAGGUAGCGAAAUUCCUUGUCGGGUAAGUUCCGACCUGCACGAAUGGUGUAACGACAGCGGCGCUGUCUCCACCCGAGACUCAGUGAAAUUGAAAUCGCUGUGAAGAUGCAGCGUUCCCGCGGCAAGACGGAAAGACCCCGUGAACCUUUACUAUAGCUUUACAUUGGACGUUGAGUUCGUCUGUCUAGGAUAGGUGGGAGGCAUUGAAGUGUGGUCGCCAGAUCGCAUGGAGCCAACCUUGAAAUACCACCCUGAUGUGCUUGACGUUCUAACCUGGGUCCGUAAUCCGGAUCGGGGACCAUGUAUGGUGGGUAGUUUGACUUGGGCGGUCUCCUCCCAAAGAGUAACGGAGGAGCUCGAAGGUACGCUCAGCGCGGUCGGACAUCGCGCACUGUGUGCAAAGGCAUAAGCGUGCUUGACUGCGAGAUCGACGGAUCAAGCAGGUACGAAAGUAGGACUUAGUGAUCCGGUGGUUCUGUAUGGAAGGGCCAUCGCUCAACGGAUAAAAGGUACUCCGGGGAUAACAGGCUGAUUCCGCCCAAGAGUUCAUAUCGACGGCGGAGUUUGGCACCUCGAUGUCGGCUCAUCACAUCCUGGGGCUGUAGCCGGUCCCAAGGGUAUGGCUGUUCGCCAUUUAAAGUGGUACGCGAGCUGGGUUCAAAAC